GAAAUAAAAGAAGGCUUGCAGCUACCAGAAAGUCAUUAAGGCAUUAGUUUCUCUGAGAAGACAGAUCUGGAGAAAAUUCAAGAAAAUGAAUCUCUCUCUCUAUAUAUAUAAACAAGGUGGAGUGGAAGACAAUGCCUGCAUUUAUGGUUAACUAUAAGUGAUACACUAGGAAGAUGAUGGUAUUCAGACAGACACAAACAAUUUGAUUCAGACAGAUUGGAUACAAGAUUUCAAGCAGCAUAAGGCGAACAGGGACACAGCACCAAACCCUGACCUCUCUGCCAAGGGUACAAGAUGAGCUUUCCUGAGGUGGUACCAUGGGGGAGAUUUCCGGACAAUUUUGGAAGACUACACAGAGAACAACUUGGAUCCCAGUGCGAAUGAACAGACCUGAUUUACAAGAUUCUGAUACCUGCUGGUCAUCUCCUCUUCCCAGUCCAGGGAAGGAUUGGCUACUUGGGAAAUGGAAAUUCAAAUGUUCUUUGACAUUUCUGUGGACUUGUUUCUUGACAUGAUGACCCAUACUGAAUGU
Molecule: long non-coding RNA, 532 nt
Organism: Mauremys reevesii (Reeves's turtle)
Lineage: Eukaryota; Metazoa; Chordata; Testudines; Geoemydidae
Exons: 5
Source: RefSeq, a predicted model, not a curated record